This 427-nucleotide ribosomal RNA is filed under the name uncultured bacterium. RNAcentral's name for it is "partial 16S ribosomal RNA". It matches the Rfam family "Bacterial small subunit ribosomal RNA", at positions 355 to 774 of the family's 1533-position model. The record is from RNAcentral.
UGGGGAAUAUUGGACAAUGGGCGAAAGCCUGAUCCAGCCAUGCCGCGUGUGUGAAGAAGGUCUUCGGAUUGUAAAGCACUUUAAGUUGGGAGGAAGGGCAUUAACCUAAUACGUUAGUGUUUUGACGUUACCGACAGAAUAAGCACCGGCUAACUCUGUGCCAGCAGCCGCGGUAAUACAGAGGGUGCAAGCGUUAAUCGGAAUUACUGGGCGUAAAGCGCGCGUAGGUGGUUUGUUAAGUUGGAUGUGAAAUCCCCGGGCUCAACCUGGGAACUGCAUUGAAAACUGACUGACUAGAGUAUGGUAGAGGGUGGUGGAAUUUCCUGUGUAGCGGUGAAAUGCGUAGAUAUAGGAAGGAACACCAGUGGCGAAGGCGACCACCUGGACUAAUACUGACACUGAGGUGCGAAAGCGUGGGGAGCAAACA